CUUUUAAAACCUAAAUAUCCUUGUAUAAGUUCAAGAAUAAGGCUUGAUCGUUUCUACCAGCUACCAUAAAUAGCUUGUCUACAAGGAAUAUCAAAUAAAUG
Molecule: non-coding RNA, 101 nt
Filed under: Rummeliibacillus stabekisii
Lineage: Bacteria; Bacillati; Bacillota; Bacilli; Caryophanales; Caryophanaceae
Description: Guanine sequence
Rfam family: Purine riboswitch aptamer
About the family: Riboswitches are metabolite binding domains within certain messenger RNAs that serve as precision sensors for their corresponding targets. Allosteric rearrangement of mRNA structure is mediated by ligand binding, and this results in modulation of gene expression. A class of riboswitches that selectively recognises guanine and becomes saturated at concentrations as low as 5 nM.
Source: Rfam by way of RNAcentral